Molecule: small RNA, 536 nt
Filed under: Pan troglodytes (chimpanzee)
Lineage: Eukaryota; Metazoa; Chordata; Mammalia; Primates; Hominidae
Description: processed transcript
Source: RNAcentral
GCGGAGGGGGAGAGCGCGGGCCGCGCGGGCGGGAAGCGAAGAGGCGGGCGGGCCAGCGAGGAGCGCGGAGAGAAAAGGCGCGAGCGGCCAGGAGGGCUCAGGCCGAGACACCUUGCAGCUGCCGCCGCCGCCACCGAGCCGCCGCCGGAGAUUCUGGAGCUGGCUGGCAAUGCAGCGAGAGACAACAAGAAGGGACGGGUCACACCCCGGCACAUCCUGCUGGCUGUGGCCAAUGAUGAAGAGCUGAAUCAGCUGCUAAAAGGAGUCACCAUAGCCAGUGGGGGUGUGUUACCCAACAUCCACCCCGAGUUGCUAGCGAAGAAGCGGGGAUCCAAAGGAAAGUUGGAAGCCAUCAUCACACCACCCCCAGCCAAAAAGGCCAAGUCUCCAUCCCAGAAGAAGCCUGUAUCUAAAAAAGCAGGAGGCAAGAAAGGGGCCCGGAAAUCCAAGAAGCAGGGUGAAGUCAGUAAGGCAGCCAGCGCCGACAGCACAACCGAGGGCACACCUGCCGACGGCUUCACAGUCCUCUCCACCAA